UGGGGAAUUUUGUACAAUGGGGGAAACCCUGAUCCAGCCAUCCCGCGUCUGCGAUGAAGGCCUUCGGGUUGUAAAGCACUUUUGGCAGGAAAGAAACGUCAUGUGUUAAUACCCCGUGAAACUGACUGUACCUGCAGAAUAAGCACCGGCUAACUACGUGCCAGCAGCCGCGGUAUUACGUAGGGUGCAAGCGUUAAUCGGAAUUACUGGGCGUAAAGCGUGCGCAGGCGGUUCGGAAAGAAAGAUGUGAAAUCCCAGAGCUCAACUUUGGAACUGCAUUGUUAACUAACGGGCUAGAGUGUGUCAGAGGGAGGUGGAAUUCCGCGUGUAGCAGAGAAAUGCGUAGAUAUGCGGAGGAACACCGAUGGCGAAGGCAGACUGCUGGGAUAACACUGACGCUCAUGCACGAAAGCGUGGGGAGCAAACAGG
Molecule: ribosomal RNA, 429 nt
Filed under: Acidobacteriota bacterium
Lineage: Bacteria; Pseudomonadati; Acidobacteriota
Description: Acidobacteria bacterium partial 16S ribosomal RNA
Rfam family: Bacterial small subunit ribosomal RNA
Source: RNAcentral